Molecule: ribosomal RNA, 439 nt
Filed under: uncultured bacterium
Lineage: Bacteria
Description: partial 16S ribosomal RNA
Rfam family: Bacterial small subunit ribosomal RNA
Source: RNAcentral
CUACGGGUUGCUGCAGUGAGGAAUAUUGCACAAUGGGGGGAACCCUGAUGCAGCAACGCCGCGUGGAGGAUGACGCAUUUCGGUGUGUAAACUCCUUUUAUAUGUCAAGAAAAUGACGGUAGCAUAUGAAUAAGCACCGGCUAACUCCGUGCCAGCAGCCGCGGUAAUACGGAGGGUGCAAGCGUUACGCGGAAUCACUGGGCGUAAAGGACGCGUAGGCGGGUUGGAAAGUCAGGUGUGAAAUCCUACAGCUUAACGGUAGAACUGCACUUGAAACUUCUAAUCUAGAGUAUGGGAGGGGGAGAUGGAAUUAGUGGUGUAGGGGUAAAAUCCGUAGAUAUCACUAGGAAUACCUAAAGCGAAGGCGAUCUCCUGGAACAUUACUGACGCUAAGGCGUGAAAGCGUGGGGAGCAAACAGGAUUAGAUACCCUCGUAGUC